RNAcentral lists this non-coding RNA (46 nucleotides) under Schistosoma mansoni. The record is from RNAcentral. Lineage: Eukaryota; Metazoa; Platyhelminthes; Trematoda; Strigeidida; Schistosomatidae.
AUCCAGCUGACGAGUCUCAAAAUAGGACGAAACGCGCGUCCUGGAU